This 32-nucleotide ribosomal RNA is filed under the name Metarhizium anisopliae. Its description in RNAcentral is "partial 28S ribosomal RNA". Lineage: Eukaryota; Fungi; Ascomycota; Sordariomycetes; Hypocreales; Clavicipitaceae. The record is from RNAcentral.
AUAGUUGACCUCGAAUCAGGUAGGACUACCCG